CUGCCAGUGGUUUCCUGGUACUUCCCUUGUAUGGUGAUGGGAUUCUCAGCCAUUUGCAGAUACAAAAGUAGUGUCUGACAGGCUGAAUGAAGAAAGUUUCAGUGGAAUUAUUCUUGAUCAACAACACACGCAAACUAGAUCCAAACCUCUGUGUUCUAUAUCUUGAAAGAUUCAUAUCAUAUCUCAAAAUAAAUCUAAAGCUUAAAUUUUUUGAGUAAUGAUUCUGAUUCUUUCUCCAAAAUGGUCCCUUACAGG
RNAcentral lists this long non-coding RNA (255 nucleotides) under Anser brachyrhynchus (Pink-footed goose). Its description in RNAcentral is "lncRNA (ENSABRG00000009348.1)". Lineage: Eukaryota; Metazoa; Chordata; Aves; Anseriformes; Anatidae. The record is from RNAcentral.